This 253-nucleotide ribosomal RNA is filed under the name uncultured bacterium. RNAcentral's name for it is "partial 16S ribosomal RNA". It matches the Rfam family "Bacterial small subunit ribosomal RNA", at positions 524 to 776 of the family's 1533-position model. The record is from RNAcentral.
UACGUAGGUGGCAAGCGUUGUCCGGAAUUAUUGGGCGUAAAGAGCUCGUAGGUGGCUUGUCACGUCUGCUGUGAAAACUCGGGGCUCAACCCCGAGCCUGCAGUGGAUACGGGCUAGCUAGAGUGCGGUAGGGGAGACUGGAAUUCCUGGUGUAGCGGUGAAAUGCGCAGAUAUCAGGAGGAACACCGGUGGCGAAGGCGGGUCUCUGGGCCGAUACUGACACUGAGGAGCGAAAGCGUGGGGAGCGAACAGG